UCAGACAUUUGGUGUAUGUGCUUGGC
This 26-nucleotide non-coding RNA is filed under the name Xenopus tropicalis (tropical clawed frog). RNAcentral also lists the same sequence under 6 other names. Lineage: Eukaryota; Metazoa; Chordata; Amphibia; Anura; Pipidae. The record is from RNAcentral.